This 465-nucleotide ribosomal RNA is filed under the name uncultured ammonia-oxidizing beta proteobacterium. RNAcentral's name for it is "bacterial SSU rRNA". It matches the Rfam family "Bacterial small subunit ribosomal RNA", at positions 198 to 644 of the family's 1533-position model. Lineage: Bacteria; Pseudomonadati; Pseudomonadota; Betaproteobacteria. The record is from RNAcentral.
GGAGGAAAGCAGGGGAUCGCAAGACCUCGCGUUAUUGGAGCGGCCGAUGCCGGAUUAGCUAGUUGGUGAGGUAAAGGCUCACCAAGGCGACGAUCCGUAGCUGGUCUGAGAGGACGACCAGCCACACUGGGACUGAGACACGGCCCAGACUCCUACGGGAGGCAGCAGUGGGGAAUUUUGGACAAUGGGGGCAACCCUGAUCCAGCCAUGCCGCGUGAGUGAAGAAGGCCUUCGGGUUGUAAAGCUCUUUCGCAAGGAAAGAAAACCUAUCCGCUAAUACCGGGUGGGGACGACGGUACCUUGAUAAGAAGCACCGGCUAACUACGUGCCAGCAGCCGCGGUAAUACGUAGGGUGCGAGCGUUAAUCGGAAUUACUGGGCGUAAAGCGUGCGCAGGCGGUUUCGUAAGCCAGAUGUGAAAUCCCCGGGCUCAACCUGGGAACUGCGUUUGAAACUACAAGGCUAG